UACGGAGGGGGCUAGCGUUGUUCGGAAUUACUGGGCGUAAAGCGCGCGUAGGCGGCUAUUUAAGUCAGGGGUGAAAGCCCCGGAGCUCAACUCCGGAACUGCCUUUGAGACUGGAUAGCUAGAAUCUUGGAGAGGCGAGUGGAAUUCCGAGUGUAGAGGUGAAAUUCGUAGAUAUUCGGAAGAACACCAGUGGCGAAGGCGGCUCGCUGGACAAGUAUUGACGCUGAGGUGCGAAAGCGUGGGGAGCAAACAGG
This 254-nucleotide ribosomal RNA is filed under the name uncultured bacterium. RNAcentral's name for it is "partial 16S ribosomal RNA". It matches the Rfam family "Bacterial small subunit ribosomal RNA", at positions 524 to 776 of the family's 1533-position model. The record is from RNAcentral.